This 60-nucleotide transfer RNA is filed under the name Opisthorchis sudarikovi. RNAcentral describes it as "tRNA-Cys". The record is from RNAcentral. Lineage: Eukaryota; Metazoa; Platyhelminthes; Trematoda; Opisthorchiida; Opisthorchiidae.
AGGGUGUGAUUUUGCUGCGCCCUGCAAAGGUGCGGGAGAUCUUUGUUGGUCCACAUCUUU